RNAcentral lists this ribosomal RNA (556 nucleotides) under uncultured Acidobacteriota bacterium. RNAcentral describes it as "bacterial SSU rRNA". It matches the Rfam family "Bacterial small subunit ribosomal RNA", at positions 469 to 1022 of the family's 1533-position model. Lineage: Bacteria; Pseudomonadati; Acidobacteriota. The record is from RNAcentral.
AUGACGGUACCGUUUGUAAGCUCCGGCUAACUCCGUGCCAGCAGCCGCGGUAAUACGGGGGGAGCAAGCGUUGUUCGGAUUUACUGGGCGUAAAGGGCGCGUAGGCGGUCAGUGCAAGUCAGUUGUGAGAUCUCCGGGCUUAACUCGGAAAGGUCAACUGAUACUGCUCGACUAGAGUGCGGAAGGGGCAACUGGAAUUCUUGGUGUAGCGGUGAAAUGCGUAGAUAUCAAGAGGAACACCUGCGGCGAAGGCGGGUUGCUGGGCCGACACUGACGCUGAGGCGCGAAAGCUAGGGGAGCGAACGGGAUUAGAUACCCCGGUAGUCCUAGCCUUAAACGAUGAAUGCUUGGUGUCUGGGGUUAUAAAGUCCCCGGGUGCCGUCGCUAACGCUUUAAGCAUUCCGCCUGGGGAGUACGGUCGCAAGACUGAAACUCAAAGGAAUUGACGGGGACCCGCACAAGCGGUGGAGCAUGUGGUUUAAUUCGACGCAACGCGAAGAACCUUACCUGGGCUAGAAUGCCCCUGACAACCCUAGAGAUAGGGCCUCCAAGGUAA